UACGGAGGGUGCAAGCGUUAUCCGGAUUUACUGGGUUUAAAGGGUGCGUAGGCGGGCCUUUAAGUCAGUGGUGAAAGCUCCGAGCUUAACUCGGAAACUGCCAUUGAUACUAUCGGUCUUGAAUUCGGUCGAGGUUGGCGGAAUGUGUCGUGUAGCGGUGAAAUGCUUAGAUAUGACACAGAACACCGAUUGCGAAGGCAGCUAGCUAGACCGACAUUGACGCUGAGGCACGAAAGCGUGGGGAUCAAACAGG
This 253-nucleotide ribosomal RNA is filed under the name uncultured bacterium. RNAcentral's name for it is "partial 16S ribosomal RNA". It matches the Rfam family "Bacterial small subunit ribosomal RNA", at positions 524 to 776 of the family's 1533-position model. The record is from RNAcentral.